GGGGAAGGGUCUCUUCUGGAGUUCCCUCCUCUGGCGUUUUGCAGUGAGCCCAAGACAAGGCUGCUUCUGAAGCCUGCACAUGUACUCUUCAGCCCGUGAGCAGCAGGAUAUCUUGUGGGUUAAGAGGCUUCUAAAGCAGACAACUAAAGCUAGAUUUGCAGAGUUCAUGUACAGAAGUCAUGAAGAUGCAUUAAAGUUUUACAUCCUCCAGGAACGACAGACUGACAGCAGCUUUGUUUAACAUGGGUUCAAAUUGCUCUCCUUCAACAACUAAGGUUAGCAGACAGCUACCAAACUCAUCUUCAGUAUGAAGCAC
Tympanuchus pallidicinctus (lesser prairie-chicken) is the source of this 316-nucleotide long non-coding RNA. RefSeq lists it as uncharacterized. The record is from RefSeq and is a predicted model, not a curated record. NCBI's taxonomy places the organism in Eukaryota, Metazoa, Chordata, Aves, Galliformes, Phasianidae. The transcript is spliced from 4 exons.